This is a long non-coding RNA of Gallus gallus (chicken), 531 nucleotides long. NCBI's taxonomy places the organism in Eukaryota, Metazoa, Chordata, Aves, Galliformes, Phasianidae. The record is from Ensembl.
GGAGAGCUGAUGUAAUCCUUGCCCCUGUUAUGAAGCCUUGGCCUCUCUUCUGUUGGACAGAAUUGUUCUUUGGAAAGUAGAAUAGAUGAUGAAAGCUCAGUGGGGGAACACAAGAGGUAGUUAUAAGAGGCUGAAGUAAAAGAAAGUCAAGAAUAUGAACAAUUCUGAGCUGGUGCUUGUGAUGCCUGGAGAAAAGCACUUGAUGCAAAAGUUGCAGAGAACUUUUUGCUUUCCUCAUUAAUGUAUCGAAGAAGGAGUUUUUACUCAAAGGACACGUACAAAGAAGUCAGGUUGCUUGUUCUGUGGAACACGGAGUCAGAGGAGCAGAUGAAGAAGAAAGAAGUGUGAGCUUGUGUGUGUGUGGAUUCAUCUUGCCAUGGAUCAGGAGUUCACCUUGUGAGAGCUCGUGUGGACAGAAGUGGAAUUGCUUCAUCAAGGAAUUACUGGAGCGUAAUCACCUUAAUUUCUCCUCAUUAUUUGGGAAAGCAGAACAGCGGUGUGAUUAGAGUGAGGAAUGAGACAACAGUCUAC